This 986-nucleotide long non-coding RNA is filed under the name Manihot esculenta (cassava). RNAcentral's name for it is "long non-coding RNA (MESC_LNC001462)". Lineage: Eukaryota; Viridiplantae; Streptophyta; Magnoliopsida; Malpighiales; Euphorbiaceae. The record is from RNAcentral.
CAAACACGAGUGACGAUUCUAUGAAUCCAAAUCAGAUAUAGAUUUAAUUAAUAAGGUAAAUAAAAAUCUUAUUAAUAUUAUAUAUAUAAAAUCACAAACAAAUGCAACUAUUAAUAUUUACACAGUUUCGUUUCUAUAUAGAACAAUACCCACUACUUCAACUCUAAUAUUGAGAGAAAACUAAUUAAUCCAAAAAUUUUCUCAUCAGCCAUGGAUUUUCUUGGCCUGCAAAACACAAACAAUCAAAACAACAAAGCAAAGAAUUUUACAUUUUUUUAAUUUAAUAAUUGUUAAAUUUAUUUUUAUGCAAUAUCUCCCUCCAAAAGAGAGGUUUUAUAGUGGUCUUACAUUUUGUCGAUUGCCAUUGGAGUUGCGAGCUGCUGCUUGAUCUCCAUGGAUGAAAGGUCUGCCAUGAGAACGACCACCAGGAGGAGGCAACGCAGAAGAGUGAGUCUCAGGUCCUCUGUAAUCAAUCUCGAAAAUAUCUGGUUCUGCUACUUGACAUCUUCCUACAACAAGGAAACUUAGCUAACUUAGUUACAAUUCUCUUAUUUACAACCAUAGCUAUAAAUCAUCAUCAGGAAGCUGUUGAUUCUAAGUGCAGAGACCUCUUGGCAAGACAAGGAGGAGGAGUAGAAGGAAGAUGGAGAUGACACUGCGCUUGAUCUCCAUUGAGGGGGCUUCAGGUCUUACAAACUAUAGCUAGCCAGCUACCUAUAUAUACAUUUAUAUAUACAUUAAAUAUAUGAAGAAGAUGAAGCAACAGCUACCAGCUGAAUAAGAAGAAGAAGAAGAAAAAGAAGAAGAAGCCUAAAGUAAAUGAAAUGGUCACCAAGGAAUGGAAGCAGUUGAGGUUCUUUCUGUGAGUUUAUUAGCAAAAUGAAAUGGUCACAAUCGACACAGCAACUAGUUGCUAGUUGACGAUGUGGAUGUGUUGGGUUGGAACAUUUAUGUAUUCUAACCAUAAGUUUAAGAAUUAAAAUUCA